RNAcentral lists this ribosomal RNA (109 nucleotides) under Thermoanaerobacter uzonensis DSM 18761. Lineage: Bacteria; Bacillati; Bacillota; Clostridia; Thermoanaerobacterales; Thermoanaerobacteraceae. The record is from RNAcentral.
UCCGGUGGCGAUAGCGGAGGGGAAACACCCGUUCCCAUUCCGAACACGGAAGUUAAGCCCUCCAGCGCCGAUGGUACUGCAUAAGCGGAAGAGUAGGUCGCUGCCGGAA